UGUGGAAGCGGGCUUGCUCGCGAUGCAGGCGCCCCGGUUUGGCUGAAGAACCGGAUUGAUACCAUCGCGAGCAAGCCCGCUCCCACA
Molecule: unclassified non-coding RNA, 87 nt
Filed under: Pseudomonas psychrophila
Lineage: Bacteria; Pseudomonadati; Pseudomonadota; Gammaproteobacteria; Pseudomonadales; Pseudomonadaceae
Source: RNAcentral